Ornithorhynchus anatinus (platypus) is the source of this 533-nucleotide RNA transcript. RefSeq lists it as uncharacterized. The transcript is spliced from 3 exons. NCBI's taxonomy places the organism in Eukaryota, Metazoa, Chordata, Mammalia, Monotremata, Ornithorhynchidae. The record is from RefSeq and is a predicted model, not a curated record.
ACCCAAAUCCCUUCUGCUGCAACUUGAGCUUGUUUUCUCCUCUUCCGCCCAGGGGGAAGACAGCGAGGAGGUAGUCGCAAUCACAUAGGAGAGCACUUUAAUGGUGAUGAUUUAGCAUCAGAAUUAGGAGGAUGCAGAAAGGGAGAGGCUGGGAGGAAAGGGGCCCAGAUAAGGACUGGACAUCCAGGAUUUUACACCUGCUGGAUCCUGCAUCUUAGGGUGACGGCCCCGGUCUGAACCUCAGCUUCCCCUCUGCAACAGAGGGAGAGCCAAUCACAUUCGCUCCUCCUGAGGAAGUUUAUAUCCUAGAAAUAAACAACAAAUGGCUGAGUUCCUGUCCUGGUUGUCAUUAUAACCACAUGCUUCAUGUGCAAAGGAGAUUUCUAGCAAAUUAAAAAGGUCCAAGGAAUUCCUGUUACCACCAGGUUUGGAACGCCUGCAAUAAGCAGUGUGACGAUGGUGCUACUGGGGUUGGGUGUUAUCGGAUCUCGGGGAAGAAGCUGCACAAGGAAGAAGAGCCGAGAGGUUCCAGG